RNAcentral lists this ribosomal RNA (497 nucleotides) under uncultured bacterium. RNAcentral describes it as "partial 16S ribosomal RNA". It matches the Rfam family "Bacterial small subunit ribosomal RNA", at positions 28 to 507 of the family's 1533-position model. The record is from RNAcentral.
GACGAACGCUGGCGGCGUGCCUAAUACAUGCAAGUAGAACGCUGAAGAGAGGAGCUUGCUCUUCUUGGAUGAGUUGCGAACGGGUGAGUAACGCGUAGGUAACCUGCCUUGUAGCGGGGGAUAACUAUUGGAAACGAUAGCUAAUACCGCAUAACAAUGGAUGACCCAUGUCAUUUAUUUGAAAGGGGCAAAUGCUCCACUACAAGAUGGACCUGCGUUGUAUUAGCUAGUAGGUGAGGUAACGGCUCACCUAGGCGACGAUACAUAGCCGACCUGAGAGGGUGGUCGGCCACACUGGGACUGAGACACGGCCCAGGAUCCUACGGGGAGCAGCAGUAGGGAAUCUUCGGCAAUGGGGGCAACCCUGAACGAGCAACGCCGGGUGAGUGGAGAAGGGUUUCGGAUCGUAAAGCUCUGUUGUAAGUCAAGAACGAGUGUGAGAGUGGAAAGUUCACACUGUGACGGUAGCUUACCAGAAAGGGACGGCUAACUACGUG